Molecule: ribosomal RNA, 502 nt
Filed under: uncultured bacterium
Lineage: Bacteria
Description: partial 16S ribosomal RNA
Rfam family: Bacterial small subunit ribosomal RNA
Source: RNAcentral
GACGAACGCUGGCGGCGUGCCUAAUACAUGCAAGUCGAACGAACCGCGACUGAGUGCUUGCACUUGGUCAAGGUGAGUGGCGAACGGGUGAGUAACACGUGGGUAACCUACCUCAUAGUGGGGGAUAACAGUCGGAAACGACUGCUAAUACCGCAUAGGACAUAGGAUCACAUGAUCCAGUGAGGAAAGGUGGCGCAAGCUAUCGCUAAGAGAUGGACCCGCGGUGCAUUAGCUAGUUGGUAGGGUAAAGGCCUACCAAGGCGAUGAUGCAUAGCCGACCUGAGAGGGUGAUCGGCCACAUUGGGACUGAGACACGGCCAAAACUCCUACGGGAGGCAGCAGUAGGGAAUCGUCCGCAAUGGACGCAAGUCUGACGGAGCAACGCCGCGUGAGUGAAGAAGGUCUUCGGAUCGUAAAGCUCUGUUGUGAGAGAAGAACAGCGCAUAGAGUAACUGCUAUGCGUGUGACGGUAUCUAACCAGAAAGCCACGGCUAACUACGUG